UGAGGAAUAUUGGUCAAUGGGCGAGAGCCUGAACCAGCCAAGCCGCGUGAAGGAAGACGGCCCUAUGGGUUGUAAACUUCUUUUGUCGGGGAACAAAAGCCGAUUUGCGAAUUGGUCUGAGUGUACCCGAAAGAAAAAGCAUCGGCUAACUCCGUGCC
Molecule: ribosomal RNA, 158 nt
Filed under: uncultured bacterium
Lineage: Bacteria
Description: partial 16S ribosomal RNA
Rfam family: Bacterial small subunit ribosomal RNA
Source: RNAcentral